GACCUAAUGGCGAAGCGGUAUCGCGUCCGUACUGUAUUUCUUGGAUUGAGCUGAUUUUAUGGUGGAAGUUCCUGGUUCGACUCCAGGCUAGGUCA
Non-coding RNA from Mycena latifolia, 95 nucleotides. NCBI's taxonomy places the organism in Eukaryota, Fungi, Basidiomycota, Agaricomycetes, Agaricales, Mycenaceae. The record is from the annotation of a GenBank genome assembly.